UGGGGGAUAUUGCACAAUGGGCGAAAGCCUGAUGCAGCGACGCCGCGUGAGGGAAGACGGUCUUCGGAUUGUAAACCUCUGUCUUUGGGGAAGAAGAUGACGGUACCCAAAGAGGAAGCUCCGGCUAACUACGUGCCAGCAGCCGCGGUAAUACGUAGGGAGCGAGCGUUGUCCGGAAUUACUGGGUGUAAAGGGAGCGUAGGCGGGGAUGCAAGUUGGAUGUUUAAACUAUCGGCUCAACCGGUAAUUGCAACCAAAACUGCAACUCUUGAGUGAAGUAGAGGCAGGCGGAAUUCCUAGUGUAGCGGUGAAAUGCGUAGAUAUUAGGAGGAACACCAGUGGCGAAGGCGGCCUGCUGGGCUUUAACUGACGCUGAGGCUCGAAAGCGUGGGGAGCAAAC
This 400-nucleotide ribosomal RNA is filed under the name uncultured bacterium. RNAcentral's name for it is "bacterial SSU rRNA". It matches the Rfam family "Bacterial small subunit ribosomal RNA", at positions 355 to 773 of the family's 1533-position model. The record is from RNAcentral.